UACGAAGGGGGCGAGCGUUAUUCGGAAUCACUGGGCGUAAAGCGUGCGUAGGCUGUUUGGCAAGUUGGAAGUGAAAGCCCAGGGCUCAACCCUGGAAUUGCUUUCAAAACUGCCAGACUCGAAUCUCGGAGAGGAUAGCGGAAUUUCCAGUGUAGUAGUGAAAUACGUAGAUAUUGGAAGGAACACCAGUGGCGUAAGCGGCUAUCUGGACGAGUAUUGACGCUGAGGCACGAAAGCGUGGGGAUCAAACAGG
This 253-nucleotide ribosomal RNA is filed under the name uncultured bacterium. Its description in RNAcentral is "partial 16S ribosomal RNA". It matches the Rfam family "Bacterial small subunit ribosomal RNA", at positions 524 to 776 of the family's 1533-position model. The record is from RNAcentral.